RNAcentral lists this ribosomal RNA (489 nucleotides) under uncultured bacterium. RNAcentral describes it as "partial 16S ribosomal RNA". It matches the Rfam family "Bacterial small subunit ribosomal RNA", at positions 29 to 506 of the family's 1533-position model. The record is from RNAcentral.
AGUGAACGCUGGCGGCAGGCCUAACACAUGCAAGUCGAACGGCAGCACAAGAGAGCUUGCUCUCUGGGUGGCGAGUGGCGGACGGGUGAGGAAUGCAUCGGAAUCUGCCCAUUUGUGGGGGAUAACCUCGGGAAACCGGGACUAAUACCGCAUACGACCUACGGGUGAAAGCAGGGGAUCUUCGGACCUUGCGCAGAUGGAUGAGCCGAUGCCGGAUUAGCUAGUUGGAGGGGUAAAGGCCCACCAAGGCGACGAUCCGUAGCUGGUCUGAGAGGAUGAUCAGCCACACUGGGACUGAGACACGGCCCAGACACCUACGGGAGGCAGCAGUGGGGAAUAUUGGACAAUGGGCGCAAGCCUGAUCCAGCCAUGCCGCGUGUGUGAAGAAGGCCUUCGGGUUGUAAAGCACUUUUGUUGGGAAAGAAAAGCAGCCGGUUAAUACCCGGUUGUCAUGACGGUACCCAAAGAAUAAGCACCGGCUAACUUCGU